Molecule: non-coding RNA, 91 nt
Filed under: bovine gut metagenome
Description: Glycine riboswitch
Rfam family: Glycine riboswitch aptamer
About the family: This family represents the bacterial glycine riboswitch. Glycine riboswitches usually consist of two metabolite-binding aptamers domains with similar structures in tandem. The aptamers cooperatively bind glycine to regulate the expression of downstream genes.
Source: RNAcentral
GCACUCUGGAGAAUCCCGGCAGACGCACGCCGGGUGCCGAAGGUGCAAAGCCCGGAAACGGGCCAAUCUCUCAGGCAAAAGGACAGAGGCG